ACAUGCAGUCGAGCGAACAGAAGGGAGCUUGCUCCCGGAUGUUAGCGGCGGACGGGUGAGUAACACGUGGGUAACCUGCCUGUAAGACUGGGAUAACUCCGGGAAACCGGAGCUAAUACCGGAUAGUUCCUUGAACCGCAUGGUUCAAGGAUGAAAGACGGUUUCGGCUGUCACUUACAGAUGGACCCGCGGCGCAUUAGCUAGUUGGUGGGGUAAUGGCUCACCAAGGCGACGAUGCGUAGCCGACCUGAGAGGGUGAUCGGCCACACUGGGACUGAGACACGGCCCAGACUCCUACGGGAGGCAGCAGUAGGGAAUCUUCCGCAAUGGACGAAAGUCUGACGGAGCAACGCCGCGUGAGUGAUGAAGGUUUUCGGAUCGUAAAGCUCUGUUGUUAGGGAAGAACAAGUGCGAGAGUAACUGCUCGCACCUUGACGGUACCUAACCAGAAAGCCACGGCUAACUACGUGCCAGCAGCCGCGGUAAUACGUAGGUGGCAAGCGUUGUCCGGAAUUAUUGGGCGUAAAGGGCUCGCAGGCGGUUUCUUAAGUCUGAUGUGAAAGCCCCCGGCUCAACCGGGGAGGGUCAUUGGAAACUGGGAAACUUGAGUGCAGAAGAGGAGAGUGGAAUUCCACGUGUAGCGGUGAAAUGCGUAGAGAUGUGGAGGAACACCAGUGGCGAAGGCGACUCUCUGGUCUGUAACUGACGCUGAGGAGCGAAAGCGUGGGGAGCGAACAGGAUUAGAUACCCUGGUAGUCCACGCCGUAAACGAUGAGUGCUAAGUGUUAGGGGGUUUCCGCCCCUUAGUGCUGCAGCUAACGCAUUAAGCACUCCGCCUGGGGAGUACGGUCGCAAGACUGAAACUCAAAGGAAUUGACGGGGGCCCGCACAAGCGGUGGAGCAUGUGGUUUAAUUCGAAGCAACGCGAAGAACCUUACCAGGUCUUGACAUCCUCUGACAACCCUAGAAGAUAGGGCUUUCCCUUCGGGGACAGAGUGACAGGUGGGUGCAUGGUUGUCGUCAGCUCGUGUCGUGAGAAUGUUGGGUUAAGUCCCGCAACGAGCGCAACCCUUUGAUCUUAGUUGCCAGCAUUAGUUGGGCACUCUAAGGUGACUGCCGGUGACAAACCGGAGGAAGGU
Molecule: ribosomal RNA, 1139 nt
Filed under: Bacillus sp. 311B3_12AR2A
Lineage: Bacteria; Bacillati; Bacillota; Bacilli; Caryophanales; Bacillaceae
Description: bacterial SSU rRNA
Rfam family: Bacterial small subunit ribosomal RNA
Source: RNAcentral